This 468-nucleotide ribosomal RNA is filed under the name uncultured bacterium. RNAcentral's name for it is "partial 16S ribosomal RNA". It matches the Rfam family "Bacterial small subunit ribosomal RNA", at positions 28 to 507 of the family's 1533-position model. The record is from RNAcentral.
GACGAACGCUGGCGGCGUGCUUAACACAUGCAAGUCGAACGGAAAGGCCCUGCUUUUGUGGGGUGCUCGAGUGGCGAACGGGUGAGUAACACGUGAGUAACCUUCCCUUGACUUUUGGAUAACUUCAGGAAACUGGGGCUAAUACCGGAUAGGAGCUCCUGCUGCAUGGUGGGGGUUGGAAAGUUUCGGCGGUUGGGGAUGGACUCGCGGCUUAUCAGCUUGUUGGUGGGGUAGUGGCUUACCAAGGCUUUGACGGGUAGCCGGCCUGAGAGGGUGACCGGCCACAUUGGGACUGAGAUACGGCCCAGACUCCUACGGGAGGCAGCAGUGGGGAAUAUUGCACAAUGGGCGGAAGCCUGAUGCAGCAACGCCGCGUGCGGGAUGACGGCCUUCGGGUUGUAAACCGCUUUCGCCUGUGACGAAGCGUGAGUGACGGUAAUGGGUAAAGAAGCACCGGCUAACUACGUG